Molecule: long non-coding RNA, 1509 nt
Filed under: Citrus x clementina
Lineage: Eukaryota; Viridiplantae; Streptophyta; Magnoliopsida; Sapindales; Rutaceae
Description: Citrus clementina (C. clementina) long non-coding RNA (CCLE_LNC003567)
Source: RNAcentral
AAUAAACUGGGAUUUUUUCUCUUGGUAAUUGGGUCAUUGAAGCUAUCAGAAUCAGCGGCAUUUUGUACGAUAGGGCUGAAAAGGUAUCAUACUAUCAUUUACUAUUAGUUUUGCCUUUGUUCUUUUUAUCUUCUCUAAAGGCAAAGCUAACAGUAAAUGAUAGUAUGAUACCCUAUAAUUUUGAUGGAGUAUUCUUUGUGGUCAAAAUUAUAGGGUAUCAUACUAUCAGUUACCGUUAGCUUUGCCUUUGUUCUUUUCCAUCUUCUCCAUAUUAUUUCUAUAUAACACAUUAUUCACUCAUGAAUGCCCAUUGGUCUGAAUUUAAAGUGAUCUAAUUUGUUAACCCAUUUGUUUAUUCUGACAUCUCUAUUUGGAAUUUUACAUUAUGACAAGAGAAACAUAAGAGCAUAGGCCUUUCUUCUUUCGAGUGUACAUCUAGGCGUCUUAAUCCAUUCUUGGUUAAAUAUGGAUAAUUAUAAAUUCGCAUCAAGCUGUUUCUCUAGUUUUUAUUUAGUGAAAAAUAAAUAUUUCCUAAAAUUUUCUCACUGUUUGGGGUGGGAAUUUCACCAUGCUACUUGUCACAAUAUUUACUCUUUCUUGAUUGAGACAAGACUGUACCUGAUUGGAAAUUGGGAUUUAAUGGUCUACGAUCCCCUUGAUUCUGCUGUUUAGUUUAGAGAGUAAGGCUCAAAAGUAUGUUCAGGCAUUAGUAUGGCCUAAAUAAGCUCUUAUUGCAACUUUGACAAUGGUUGUUUACUUGAGCAGCAGACUUGGGCCUAAAUAAUAAUGGCACCUGUUACAAAUAGUAAUGUGAGAGUAGAAUAUAUAAGUGGAUAAUGGAGAACCAAUAAUAUUAAUGUUCUAGGGUUGUUAUAGGCUAGAAAAUGUAAUUAGGGAAAUGUUUCUUGAAAAAUCUAGAUAUUUUUUUUUUGUUGGUUUUCCUCCUAAAAGAAUUGUGAAGUCUGCUGUUAAUAGAAAUUCAUUUCUCCCUCUAUAUUUAUUACCACUUAUGCUUGCAUACCUUUGCAUUUAUUUGCACCCAUGCUUACACGGCCUUGUAUGUACCUUUACAUUUAUAUUUCAUGCAUGCUUAGUUAUUUUUGUAAAAAUUUAUGAACAUGUAUUAAUUGUUAGCCUUGCCUAUUGGCUUUAAACAAUAUUAACCUUUACCACAAGUUUUCACCGAUCAAAUUAACAUUGUUAAUAUUUAAUAUCUGCAUGCUUUGUCCAUGCAUUUAAUUCAAAGAUGGCGCAUGCAUUUCACAAGUAUUUAUUCUAAUGCAUGCUUUUUAUUGAAUAUUAUGUGCGUUUUGUCUAAGCGUUAAAUUUGCUUAUGCAUGCUUGCUCUAUGCACUCAAUUGUGAUGCAUCCUCUUGCUAAUUCAAAGAUGACUUUAAACAUGUUUAACCUUUGCCACAACCUUCCACAGGUCAAUUCAACAUUGUUAAUGUUUAAUGUCAUACAUACUUUGUCCAUGCAUUUAAUUCAAAGAUGGCGCAUACAUUACAU